This 256-nucleotide ribosomal RNA is filed under the name uncultured bacterium. RNAcentral describes it as "partial 16S ribosomal RNA". It matches the Rfam family "Bacterial small subunit ribosomal RNA", at positions 524 to 776 of the family's 1533-position model. The record is from RNAcentral.
GACGUAGGUGGCGAACGUUAUCCGGAAUUAUUGGGCGUAAAGGGUGCGUAGGCGGCAUGAUAAGUUAUUGGCGGGAAAUCGAGGCUCAACCUCGUGGAAACUAAUAAUACUGUUUUGCUUGAGUACAGGAGAGGUUAACGGAACUCCAUGUGGAGCGGUAAAAUGUGUAGAUAUAUGGAAGAACAUCAGUAACGGCGAAGGCAGUUAACUAUUCUGUUACUGACGUUGAGGCACGAAAGCGUGGGGAGCAAAACGG